RNAcentral lists this ribosomal RNA (508 nucleotides) under uncultured bacterium. RNAcentral's name for it is "bacterial SSU rRNA". It matches the Rfam family "Bacterial small subunit ribosomal RNA", at positions 28 to 497 of the family's 1533-position model. The record is from RNAcentral.
GAUGAACGCUGGCGGCGUGCCUAACACAUGCAAGUCGAACGGACCUUGCUUAAUUGGAGUACUUGUACAAAGAGAAAGCGUAGGUUAGUGGCGGACGGGUGAGUAACACGUGGGUAAUUAACCUUCUAGACUGGGAUAACAACGGGAAACUGGUGCUAAUACCGGAUAAGAUUCAUUGGCGGCAUCGCCGAUGGAAGAAAAGAGGCCUCUCCAUGGAAGCUCCUGCUAGAAGACAAGCCCGCGGCUGAUUAGCUAGUUGGUGAGGUAAUGGCUCACCAAGGCCACGAUCAGUAGCCGGCCUGAGAGGGUGAACGGCCACACUGGGACUGAGACACGGCCCAGACUCCUACGGGAGGCAGCAGUGGGGAAUAUUGCGCAAUGGAGGAAACUCUGACGCAGCAACGCCGCGUGAAUGAAGAAGGCUUCGGGUUGUAAGUUACUGUCAAUUGGAAGAACCUUAAGGUACAAUAGCCUUAGAGAUGACGGUACCAGUGAAGGAAGACUCCGG